Pseudophryne corroboree (corroboree frog) is the source of this 1041-nucleotide long non-coding RNA. RefSeq lists it as uncharacterized. The transcript is spliced from 5 exons. The record is from RefSeq and is a predicted model, not a curated record. Lineage: Eukaryota; Metazoa; Chordata; Amphibia; Anura; Myobatrachidae.
GUUGGCAGUUGGGCAGCGGCCAUCUUAGAAGGACACAGAACAGCAACUUGGAACAGAGCCAGCUGGUGGUGUGUGACAGGAGUGCUGCAUAGCUUAUGGCGAGCCAGCUUCUAUUUCCGGUGACUGGAGAUCAUCAUUUUAGCAGCCAAUUGGUAAUAGAAGCCUCCUGUGGGUAUACCACUGCUUCCAGUGGUGCUUGCUUGCUGACAGGCAUCUGACAGAGCAGAGACAGUGAUAUAUUUCAAUGAGCCCGAGGACCAUUAAAGCCACCAACCAAACCAAACCCUUCACCAGCAGGGGAGGACAAAACUGCAGAUAAGAGUUUCAACCAGAAACUGUAAAGGGGGUAAAGGAAGAAUCAGUCUACUGAAGUAGUGUCUUGACUAACCAUUCACUGUCACUACGAGAUCAACACAAAUCUUAUCCACGACGGAGAGGUAGGAUGCUUAUCAGCCCAGACAAAAGAGGAGAUGGACAACGGCCAAGACUUUCCUGCAUAUCACUACUCUCUUCAGGCAGAUAACUACUAUCAACAUCUGAUGGACCCAGAUUCAGUAGAUUCCAUGGAUCAAAUUCCACUUCACAAAUAAGCGACUUUCAUGUCAUUGAAGUUCAUGACCAGACAUACUCCUAACCAACUGAUUGGAGUCUGCCCAAUGUAUACAACAGCUCUGCUUCCAUGAAUUAGAAUACAGAACAUCAUAGAAAAAAAAAUGCUGAUUCCAUACAGUAUGUGUCCCUUACCUAUUGUGGUGCUCUUUUAUGGUCAUGUGGAAAUGGUACUACAGUAUGUUGAUAAGUUUCAUAUACAACAUACCCUGAUGACUGAUCAGCAUUAAAAAUAAAAACUUGAUACAACAUAUAAAUUAUUCAGUACUUUAUGGAAUUGCCUGAUUACAGUUACGUUCAUACCAUCAAUGUUAGCAUGGUAACUAGAAGAUUCACUGUGUUAACAAUUUGUAUCUAAUCUAUCUUUAGCUAAGUUUCACCUUGUCUGAUGUUCUGUGUUCUUUAUGGUAAGUAAAUAAGAUUAUCUCAUUA